Molecule: ribosomal RNA, 463 nt
Filed under: uncultured bacterium
Lineage: Bacteria
Description: partial 16S ribosomal RNA
Rfam family: Bacterial small subunit ribosomal RNA
Source: RNAcentral
CGAACGCUGGCGGCGUGCUUACCACAUGCAAGUCGACCGGAAAGGCCCCUUUGGGGGUACUCGAGUGGCGAACGGGUGAGUAACACGUGAGUAACCUGCCCUUGACUUCGGGAUAACUUCAGGAAACUGGGGCUAAUACCGGAUAGGAAUCCUUGCUGCAUGGUGGGGGUUGGAAAGCUUCGGCGGUUUUGGAUGGACUCGCGGCUUAUCAGCUUGUUGGUGGGGUAGUGGCUUACCAAGGCUUUGACGGGUAGCCGGCCUGAGAGGGCGACCGGCCACAUUGGGACUGAGAGACGGCCCAGACUCCUACGGGAGGCAGCAGUGGGGAAUAUUGCACAAGGGGCGGAAGCCUGAUGCAGCAACGCCGCGGGCGGGAUGACGGCCUUCGGGUUGGAAACCGCUUUCAGCAGGGGCGAAGCUUGUGGUGACGGUACCUGCAGAAGAAGCACCGGCUAACUACGUG